This 468-nucleotide ribosomal RNA is filed under the name uncultured bacterium. RNAcentral's name for it is "partial 16S ribosomal RNA". It matches the Rfam family "Bacterial small subunit ribosomal RNA", at positions 28 to 507 of the family's 1533-position model. The record is from RNAcentral.
GACGAACGCUGGCGGCGUGCUUAACACAUGCAAGUCGAACGGAAAGGCCCUGCUUUUGUGGGGUGCUCGAGUGGCGAACGGGUGAGUAACACGUGAGUAACCUGCCCUUGACUUUGGGAUAACUUCAGGAAACUGGGGCUAAUACCGGAUAGGAGCUCCUGCUGCAUGGUGGGGGUUGGAAAGUUUCGGCGGUUGGGGAUGGACUCGCGGCUUAUCAGCUUGUUGGUGGGGUAGUGGCUUACCAAGGCUUUGACGGGUAGCCGGCCUGAGAGGGGGACCGGCGACAUUGGGACUGAGAUACGGCGCAGACUCGUACGGGAGGCAGCGGUGGGGAGUAUUGCACAAUGGGCGGGAGCCUGAUGCAGCAACGCCGCGUGCGGGAUGACGGCCUUCGGGUUGUGAACCGCUUUCGCCUGUGACGAAGCGUGAGUGACGGUAAUGGGUAAAGAAGCACCGGCUAACUACGUG